ACCAGGAUGGCCGAGUGGUUAAGGCGUUGGACUCAAGAUCCAAUGAGCGUCUGCUCACGUGGGUUCUAAUCCUACUUCUGGUA
RNAcentral lists this transfer RNA (83 nucleotides) under Oryzias latipes (Japanese medaka). RNAcentral's name for it is "tRNA-Leu (CAA) (tRNA-Leu-CAA-24-1)". It matches the Rfam family "tRNA". Rfam says of the family: Transfer RNA (tRNA) molecules are approximately 80 nucleotides in length. Their secondary structure includes four short double-helical elements and three loops (D, anti-codon, and T loops). Further hydrogen bonds mediate the characteristic L-shaped molecular structure. tRNAs have two regions of fundamental functional importance: the anti-codon, which is responsible for specific mRNA codon recognition, and the 3' end, to which the tRNAs corresponding amino acid is attached (by aminoacyl-tRNA synthetases). tRNAs cope with the degeneracy of the genetic code in two manners: having more than one tRNA (with a specific anti-codon) for a particular amino acid; and 'wobble' base-pairing, i.e. permitting non-standard base-pairing at the 3rd anti-codon position. Lineage: Eukaryota; Metazoa; Chordata; Actinopteri; Beloniformes; Adrianichthyidae. The record is from Rfam by way of RNAcentral.